This 66-nucleotide transfer RNA is filed under the name Anopheles pseudotibiamaculatus. Its description in RNAcentral is "tRNA-Thr". It matches the Rfam family "tRNA". Rfam says of the family: Transfer RNA (tRNA) molecules are approximately 80 nucleotides in length. Their secondary structure includes four short double-helical elements and three loops (D, anti-codon, and T loops). Further hydrogen bonds mediate the characteristic L-shaped molecular structure. tRNAs have two regions of fundamental functional importance: the anti-codon, which is responsible for specific mRNA codon recognition, and the 3' end, to which the tRNAs corresponding amino acid is attached (by aminoacyl-tRNA synthetases). tRNAs cope with the degeneracy of the genetic code in two manners: having more than one tRNA (with a specific anti-codon) for a particular amino acid; and 'wobble' base-pairing, i.e. permitting non-standard base-pairing at the 3rd anti-codon position. The record is from RNAcentral. Lineage: Eukaryota; Metazoa; Arthropoda; Insecta; Diptera; Culicidae.
GCUUAAAUAAUUUAACAAAAAUAUUAGUCUUGUAAACUAAAAAUAAGAUAAAAUUCUUUUUAAGCU